UUGUUCUAUCCACUUGGGGUUGAGAUUUAAUUGGCUAUAUCUUAUUUCCUUCCAGUGGCAGAACCAAAGGACUCUGUAUACUUGUUGGACAAUUGCCCCCAUGACUGGCUAUUCUUACAAUGUAAGGCUGUGGUUCAUCAUGGUGGUGCUGGAACAACUGCUGCCGGUCUUAAAGCAGCGUGCCCGACAACUAUUGUACCUUUCUUUGGUGACCAACCUUUCUGGGGAGAUCGAGUACAUGCCAGAGGAGUAGGUCCUCCACCCAUCCCAGUUGAAGAGUUCUCACUUGCAAAGUUAGUUGAUGCAAUAAAUUUCAUGCUAGAUCCAGAGGUGAAGAUGCGUGCAGUUGAACUCGCAAAGUCCAUGGAGAAAGAAGAUGGAGUAACUGGAGCGGUUAAAGCAUUUUUUAAGCAUUAUCCUCAUCCGAAGGCUCAGACUAAGCCUGAGACCAAGGACGAGGCAGAGCCAUCAUCAGAACCAUCAAGUUUUUUCUCCAUUAGUAGAUGUUUUGGUUGUUCUUGAGUCUCAUAAAUGUAUACUCCAUCCUUGUGUCAUCGUCAAUUGCACAUCCUAUACCAGUAUAGCAUGAUAAGAUAAAUGCCUCAACAGUGAUUUUUACUCCUGACCUCUUUUUGUGAAUCCUUUGCCAUGGUUCAUAUUCCUGCUUGCAGAAUUGUAAUUUUCAGGUUUUGCCGAGUCAACAAUCAACAUUCAUUAAUUGCAUAGCGUUAUCAUCUUUCAUUUAUUUA
Molecule: long non-coding RNA, 749 nt
Organism: Pistacia vera
Lineage: Eukaryota; Viridiplantae; Streptophyta; Magnoliopsida; Sapindales; Anacardiaceae
Exons: 4
Source: RefSeq, a predicted model, not a curated record